AUGACCAGCGGCAAACCAUUUUCAUCAGUGAAGGCCAGAAGUUGGUUGGCAUACACCUCCCAAAGGGUAAGAUCAAUCUCAGCUCCACUAUCCAAACAAACAACAAUGAAAAGUUAUGAAGUGAAUGAUGCAAGGAUUGCAGGUGGAAAAUUGACAUACCAUUCAUCGGCCAAAAUUAGGUUGACGCAAGGCUUUUUCCCAGCUCCUCCAACCUGUUGCAGGACAUCAAUGAUAUCUGCUUGGAAAAGAAUGCCAAGCAAGCAGGAGUUAUCAUCCACAUGUCAAGUGAUGAUAGGUUAG
Non-coding RNA from Vicia faba (fava bean), 300 nucleotides. NCBI's taxonomy places the organism in Eukaryota, Viridiplantae, Streptophyta, Magnoliopsida, Fabales, Fabaceae. The record is from the annotation of a GenBank genome assembly.